This is an RNA transcript of Setaria italica (foxtail millet), 531 nucleotides long. RefSeq lists it as uncharacterized. Lineage: Eukaryota; Viridiplantae; Streptophyta; Magnoliopsida; Poales; Poaceae. The transcript is spliced from 2 exons. The record is from RefSeq and is a predicted model, not a curated record.
CGUGGAAAUGAUUGAGGGCCCAUCACCUCACGGACCAACCAUGGAACUCCGCUCCACCCGCGCCUCCGCCGCUCCGUCCUCCGGGGGCCAGAGAUGCUGCCUGGCUCUCCAGUGUCCCGUGUCCACUCUGAUGCGCGGUGCGGCGCUCCACACCCACCCAGCGAUCUCCACAGGGCGGCCGCGCGGCGUGGAUCUCCUUCAGUCGCUCAAGGAUGAGGUACCUCAAACCGCAGUGAAUGUGGUCUUGGAAGAGCUUAUCCCUAGAUCGUGAAGCGGCAAUCUGUCCCGCGAAAAAAAGAAGAUCGACGCUUUCCAAAAGAUGUUACCUAUGCUAUGUCGUGGCUUCCAUCCAAGUUUAUGUGUGUACAAAUAUCACCUUUGAGAUUUGGUGUAAAAGACACAGCUGGCGAUAGUAGACCAGUAUACACAAUAGUAAUAGCAUAGUUAUGGCUGUUAUGCUGUAUCCUGCUACCUGACAGUGGUGUGCUAUGCAAUGGUGAUAAUAAAUCUGUUUUUCCUUCCUUGUGUGUA